Molecule: ribosomal RNA, 470 nt
Filed under: Vibrio sp. RKVR06
Lineage: Bacteria; Pseudomonadati; Pseudomonadota; Gammaproteobacteria; Vibrionales; Vibrionaceae
Description: bacterial SSU rRNA
Rfam family: Bacterial small subunit ribosomal RNA
Source: RNAcentral
CCUUCAUAGAGUUUGAUCCUGGCUCAGAUUGAACGCUGGCGGCAGGCCUAACACAUGCAAGUCGAGCGGAAACGACUUAACUGAACCUUCGGGGAACGUUAAGGGCGUCGAGCGGCGGACGGGUGAGUAAUGCCUGGGAAUAUGCCUUGAUGUGGGGGAUAACCAUUGGAAACGAUGGCUAAUACCGCAUAAUCUCUUCGGAGCAAAGAGGGGGACCUUCGGGCCUCUCGCGUCAAGAUUAGCCCAGGUGGGAUUAGCUAGUUGGUGAGGUAAUGGCUCACCAAGGCGACGAUCCCUAGCUGGUCUGAGAGGAUGAUCAGCCACACUGGAACUGAGACACGGUCCAGACUCCUACGGGAGGCAGCAGUGGGGAAUAUUGCACAAUGGGCGCAAGCCUGAUGCAGCCAUGCCGCGUGUGUGAAGAAGGCCUUCGGGUUGUAAAGCACUUUCAGUCGUGAGGAAGGUGGUGU